GUUAGUGUAGCGUAAAGUUAAGCGUAUUUGGUUUGGGUCCAAAAGGUUAAAGGUUAGAUUCCUUUUACUCA
This 71-nucleotide transfer RNA is filed under the name Kryptoperidinium triquetrum. RNAcentral describes it as "Heterocapsa triquetra tRNA-Pro". It matches the Rfam family "tRNA". Rfam says of the family: Transfer RNA (tRNA) molecules are approximately 80 nucleotides in length. Their secondary structure includes four short double-helical elements and three loops (D, anti-codon, and T loops). Further hydrogen bonds mediate the characteristic L-shaped molecular structure. tRNAs have two regions of fundamental functional importance: the anti-codon, which is responsible for specific mRNA codon recognition, and the 3' end, to which the tRNAs corresponding amino acid is attached (by aminoacyl-tRNA synthetases). tRNAs cope with the degeneracy of the genetic code in two manners: having more than one tRNA (with a specific anti-codon) for a particular amino acid; and 'wobble' base-pairing, i.e. permitting non-standard base-pairing at the 3rd anti-codon position. The record is from RNAcentral. Lineage: Eukaryota; Dinophyceae; Peridiniales; Kryptoperidiniaceae.